This 85-nucleotide transfer RNA is filed under the name Psittacicella gerlachiana. RNAcentral describes it as "Bisgaard taxon 44 str. EEAB3T1 tRNA-Tyr". It matches the Rfam family "tRNA". Rfam says of the family: Transfer RNA (tRNA) molecules are approximately 80 nucleotides in length. Their secondary structure includes four short double-helical elements and three loops (D, anti-codon, and T loops). Further hydrogen bonds mediate the characteristic L-shaped molecular structure. tRNAs have two regions of fundamental functional importance: the anti-codon, which is responsible for specific mRNA codon recognition, and the 3' end, to which the tRNAs corresponding amino acid is attached (by aminoacyl-tRNA synthetases). tRNAs cope with the degeneracy of the genetic code in two manners: having more than one tRNA (with a specific anti-codon) for a particular amino acid; and 'wobble' base-pairing, i.e. permitting non-standard base-pairing at the 3rd anti-codon position. The record is from RNAcentral. RNAcentral also lists the same sequence under 2 other names. Lineage: Bacteria; Pseudomonadati; Pseudomonadota; Gammaproteobacteria; Pasteurellales; Psittacicellaceae.
GGAGAGGUUCCCGAGUGGCCAAAGGGAUCGGAUUGUAAAUCCGCUGACUCAGUCUUCGAAGGUUCGAAUCCUUCCCUCUCCACCA